Molecule: long non-coding RNA, 614 nt
Organism: Passer montanus (Eurasian tree sparrow)
Lineage: Eukaryota; Metazoa; Chordata; Aves; Passeriformes; Passeridae
Exons: 2
Source: RefSeq, a predicted model, not a curated record
GGAUAUCUCGGAUGUUGCGGGGGACGGGUGGGGCUGGGGGGUUCCAGCUGAAGGAAAACCUGGUGUUCCUUCCCAUCCCUCCACGGAUUCCCAGGAGGCGAAGGCUGGGAGAGCUGUGGGGCUUGCCUGGAGAGGGGCUGGUGUUUGCUGCCGGGUGCAUCGCUGUGGAGGUGGCAGAGUGCGGGAGGCUUUGUUGUUUGGCCUCGCGGGGCGAGCUGCAGUGAUUAAUCAGCCUGCACUUAGCAGGAGAGUGCGGGAGAGGCUCUGCUGACCUCGGUGCUGAGGUUCACAGCAGCCUCCCUCUCUUUGGGUGUGCUGUGAGCGAGGAGGAGACGUGUUUUGCUUCCAGGUGAAGCUUCUUCUGGCUCGCGGGAGCCUGCUGGAAAAUCCUCGGGGAGAUGCGGUAUUCUGGGAUGAGAGGAAGGGCCCUAAGUCCUGGGAAGUAAAUUCAAGGAGAGGACUGAAGGAAUGUUGCCAGUCAAAGGCCUCACCAGUUUAUGAGACAGCAGAAUGCAAUGACUACAAGCUGGAUUGUGGGAAAUGAGACUGCACCCUCUGUUUAUAAAUGUAGCUGCUACAGUGGCUCAAAAUAAAAAUGCUCCUCAUGAGCAUAA